UGCCCCCGGCCCGGCCCCGCCCCGAGCGGCGGCGGCUCCGUGACCCCGGUGCCGUCCGGUGCGGCGGUGCCGGCAUGGCCGUGCCCUGGGCUCUGCCCGCGCCCCUCAGCCCGGCGCAGCUGAAGCGCCUGGAGCAGCACCGCUACAGCGCGGCCGGGCGCUCGCUGCUGGAGCCGUGGCUGCAGCCGUACUGGGGCUGGCUGGUGGAGCAGGUCCCGCUGGGGCUGGCGCCCAACGCCAUCACCAUGGGCGGCCUCCUGCUGAAUUGCCUGACGGCGCUGCCGCUCAUCGCCUGCUGCCCCAGCGCCGCCGAGCAGGCACCUUCUUGGGCAUACAUCCUGGGUGCAUUAGGACUUUUUAUCUACCAGUCUCUGGAUGCCAUUGAUGGGAAGCAAGCCAGAAGAACAAACACUAGUUCUCCUCUAGGAGAACUCUUUGAUCAUGGUUGCGACUCUAUUUCCACAGUUUUUGUUGUCCUUGGAUCCUGCAUAGCAAUCCGACUAGGAACAAAUCCUGACUGGUUGUUUUUCUGUUGUUUUGUGGGACUGUUCAUGUUCUAUUCUGCUCACUGGCAGACAUAUGUAUCAGGCAUACUAAGGUUUGGAAAAAUUGAUGUAACUGAAGUUCAGAUAGCCAUAACAAUGCUGCUCUUGAUAUCUGCAUAUGCAGGAACAGCAAUAUGGGACUAUAAGGUCCCUUUGGUGGGCUUAGAACUGAAGUUCUUUGCAGUUAUUGGCAUCCUGUGUGGAACAGCACUUUCUUUUUUCAAUUACUUCCGUGUCAUCUUUGGUGGAGGGGUUGGAAAGAAUGGAUCCACAAUAGCAGGAACAAGUGUUCUUUCGCCAGGCCUGCACAUUGGACUACUUAUCACACUGGCCAUUAUGAUUUAUAAAAAGUCUACAACUCAGCUGUUUGAAAAGCAUGCUUGCCUGUAUGUCUUAACAUUUGGGUUUGUGAAUGCCAAAAUCUCACAGAAGUUAGUGGUGGCUCACAUGACAAAAAGUGAAAUCUCUCUUCAGGACUCUGCGUUUAUUGGGCCAGGACUUCUGUUUCUGGACCAGUACUUCAACAGUUUCAUUGAUGAAUAUAUUGUUCUAUGGAUAGCAUUGUUCAUAUCCUUGUUUGAUAUGCUGAGAUAUGCCACUGGUGUGUGCCUACAGAUUGCUGCUCAUCUUCAUAUACAUGUCUUCAGAAUUUCAUCUCAUCAAGCUCCUGAACAGGUUCAAAACCAUAAUGACUGAUUAAAUAGGUCAAGGACAAGAGAAGAAGCAUUUAGGGGAAUGUUGAAUGAAGCAGCCCCUCUGUUUUUGGGAAGACAGAUUAAGCUUUUGAAGAAAACAGUUUUAUGAGAAAGUUCACCGUAUCCCAGACAUUACCAGAUAUUAGAAUUAGUAGAUAACAAAGUUCUGCAGAUGCUAUUGUGAUCAAUACUUUUGAACCAGGAUGUAUUUCAGACCAUCAAUACCACAUUUGAAAAUGUUGCCCUUUCCUGUUAGGUACAACUUGUUUCUCCAUUGAGCCAUCAGAAUAACAUGGACUGAAGAGACUUGCGAACAGUUGCCAUCUCCUGCUGUUGCUGUGACGAGAAAAGGAGAUAAUACUGAACAAAUGCCAUAUCAAUAUGAGUCCUUUGAAUUAAAUGAAUGUCAAAUGACUUUUAAUAGAAUGUUCUAUUUUUGCAUGUAACUAACUUCAGAGAUCUGAUACUUACGGUGUCCAUCAUAAUCUUCUUCUGCAACAUAGCCAUUUCUUUGCGGAGUUCAUUUUGGGCACCUGCCAGAAGAUUUUCAUUGCUCUUCUCCAGCUCGUCCAUGCUCUGAAGUUAAGGAUAAUCUUAAUUCAGAACUCCUCAGUGUUUCAAAGAGUUAAUUUAAAACAAACCAAUCAUUCAUUUUCUUACUACAAUUUAAUUUUUACAGCGAUCACUGGUAAUUGAUUAGUUUUGUCACAGACUUGACAGAGGAAUCAUACAGGACUUCACACUCCAGCCUACAUUCCUAUUUUAACAAUGUGGACCCUGUGAAGGAAAUGGUGCCCUCCAGUCAGUUUCUGUGAAGUCUUAGGUAGUUAUUCUGCAUCUUAAUUAAGAGUUCCACAAGAAGAACUUGAGCAGACAUCUGUCAGGAAUGCUAGGAGUUCAAUAUUAUGGCAACCUUGAGGGACUUGAAGUAAGGAUUAUAAAACCCAUUACAUGUCUUUGCACACUUCUCCCCAAAUAAAACUCACUGGUUAUCUUCCCUUUUGUACCUACAAUUAUGCCUACCUCUGUGUAUGUGUCUAGUUGCAUGUUCUUUAACUUACAUUUACUUAAGCAUAUUUGAGGCUUGACUUCUACCUUUUGAUCUUUGAGGAGAAAAAUCAAAGUAAUACUUGACCUACUAUUCAGCUUUUCCUCUUUGAUGAAGACAUUUUUGACAUUUUGGAAUAGUUAUUAAUGCUUCUGUAAUAUCCUCUAUAAAUUUUGACUGUCUUAAACUAA
RNA transcript from Chiroxiphia lanceolata (lance-tailed manakin), 2479 nucleotides. It is a transcript of the gene named choline phosphotransferase 1, with no coding region annotated. The record is from RefSeq and is a predicted model, not a curated record. The transcript is spliced from 9 exons. NCBI's taxonomy places the organism in Eukaryota, Metazoa, Chordata, Aves, Passeriformes, Pipridae.